This is a long non-coding RNA of Oryzias melastigma (Indian medaka), 3026 nucleotides long. RefSeq lists it as uncharacterized. The transcript has 3 exons. NCBI's taxonomy places the organism in Eukaryota, Metazoa, Chordata, Actinopteri, Beloniformes, Adrianichthyidae. The record is from RefSeq and is a predicted model, not a curated record.
UGGUGAGGUGCAGAGGAGGACUGAGACAAACAGGGAGGGAGGGUAACAGAGCGGGAGAGAGACUGUGGAGAGAGAGAGCUAUUAGUGUGUUGCACCUCAAAAAGUGGGAAUUGAGAUCAACAUGCAAGGGGAACGCCAGCUUAUGACACACGGGCGGUACUGGUGUGUGCGCACGAACAGAGGAAGCCGCGCCGAAGCAUCAGAGGAAAAGAGAGCACGAGAUCAGAGAAGUUUGUGUCAUUAUGAGUUCAUGAUUUUGUGAUAAGGAGGAUGAAAGAGAGCCAUCCGGGCUGUGACAGCUGAGCUAAAUCCAGAGAACAGCAGAUCAUGGAGGCAACAAGAAUGAAACGUUACCCUACCAGCCAGAUGAAAAGACAGGCAGGAAAACACACGAGAGGGGAGGAAGAGGAAGGAGAAGAAACAAAGUCAGGAAGUAAAAACACUCAGGAGACAGACAGAGUGUGGGAGGACGACAGCUUCAAAUGAGGGGGGGUCUGAGUGAAGCAUGUGAUGCACUGCAAGGCGUGAAAAUGUCACCGCAAUGUGCUAAAUCCACAGUUUCCUUUCACGCUGACCGCGGAGAGCCGGUGAGCAGAGUCCAGGCAUGCUGCAGUCUACAUCUGCAUCGUAUUUGAGACAAAUGGUUCUGGAACCCCUACGAUCAAAACCUUCCUCAAAAACCUGUUAUAUACAACAUGUUUCUUACAUCAUCCACUUUAACUGCUAUUAGGAUGUUUUGUACAGACAGACACUAGGACUGUUUUACCAAAGCUUCUGUUGGACGACGGCAUGAGAGUGUUUGGGUUCAUCUUUAGUUUAGUUUGGAAUUGUCUCAGUGGAAGGUUUCGCCUUGUAAAGUGGACAAGCAACUCAAGAGCGUGUUACUGUUGAUGUCAGUCUCUGAAGACGAUAGAGCUUCAGGAGUAAAAGAAAGGAUGUGAACCAGGACCAACUGACCUCUGAGAGAGCACUGGGCAUAGAGUGGAACAUUGAGGUGGACACUUUGAGAAUACAAACCUAUGUUCAGAGCCUCCGUGCACCAGAAGAGGAACCGUAUCAGUAGUAAGUUUGAUUCCUAGCACCCUUGGUUGAGACUACAACACUUCUUCUCAGAGAGUUGUGCAAGAAGGAAAAAGGUAUGGGACGAAAAUAUUCUGGACAAUCAACAAAAGAGAUGGUCAAAGUGGUUGUAUGUUCUGAAAAAAACUGUAAAAAAAAUAGAAUUUGUUUAUUUUUAAUAUAUGAAAACAUUGAAACGAAGAACCUCCAGGUUUUUUUAAUACACAAAAAAUGAAAAAGAGGAUCAACCCUUCCGCUUCCAUAGAAAGUGAAAACAGCUCGGGUCCAGAAGAUGCAGCAGAACUUAAAGCCCGAUUCUCCAAAUCUGUCUUGACAUUGGGAACAAGCAGAUGAUACAAAUCCUUUGAACAAAAAGCAUUGUGACUUCUUGACCUUUGUAACAGAGAACUUCAGUACAAGAAGAGAUUUGUAGAUCAGCCAUACAGUGACAACACCCAGAUUGUGCGGUUUUGAUCAAAAUCUCUGUAUUUUGUGUUUUUGAGUAUGCUAAUGAUAAUGAACUUCCUGUUUGACAUUUAUUUAGUGAUUGUAUCUGACACAAAGUAGGUCCUUUUUUUAAUCAAUUUUCUUAAAAAAUGGUUAUUCAUGGAGUUCAAUAGGAAUCUGUUUCAUAAAGUUUGGAUCAGCAAAAAUGUCAGAUGUAAUAUGAUUAAAAAAUAUCUCAAAAUUGGUCUUUAAAUCAAGACAGGAAGUAACAAAUAAUGGAUUACUAAGUAUUGUUAAUCAUUGAGGAACUUGGGUUUUUUUCUCAAAUCUGAUGGUUUUUAGAUAUUUUUUGGGCUUGAAAACCAUGACUCUAUCUGGCAACACUGAAAUCCCUUUAUGGAGAGAAAAUAGACUCACCCCAACCCCCACCUGCAUUCUUGGUUUGUGUGUAACUUUGGGUUUGUGUGUGCAUAAUUCCUGAUUUGUGACUCCUACAAUUUAUUUUGUGCAUUUUGUGAUUAAAAUUAUGAAAUUAAAAAAUGCUAUUUGCACAUGCACGAAUUAAAAUGACAGCAGCUUGAAAAUAACAGACAAAUCUUUAAAAGUUACGUACAAAUCGCUUAUGUACACACAAAUCCACAUUUAAGCACAAAUCUGAGGUGAGACUCUAGGAAAAAGUUUUCACCAGAUAUUAUUUACAAUCUGAGUUCAAAGCGGCUGAAAAGAAAACUGAUGACCGAUCAUUCCCGUAGAAAAAACAUCUUAUUGGUGUGUAAAUGCGGUUUUGUGUUUGAACGACAAGUGAUUCAGGCGGGAUUUUUAAAGAUUUGUGUGUAAUUCCGUUUCAAGAUGCUGUAAUUUUAAUUUUUGCAUGUGUAAAUUUUAUUCUGUAUUUUCUUUUGUUUAAUCAUUUUUGUACUUAUGCACAAAAUGUAUUAAAUGAGUUGCUAAUCAAGGAUAUGCACGCACAAACCCAAAGAUACACACAAAUCAAGAAUCACGCAAGGACAAAUCCAGGUACCAGGAAUUUGUGAGUUCUGAGGGAAAAAUCAGGUUUAUUUCUGUAAAUAAAACCAUACUUCAGCCUCAACUUACAUAUACAAAGUAUACCUGGAAAGCUCUGGUCUAAUAAAUCCACUGUACUAAUCAGCUCUGGUGUUCUUCCAGAGUUCUCCCAUCAUUUAGUGAGAGAAACUGCUGGCAGUGGCAUGAAAAGUCUCAGGAAUGUAUCUUCAGUGACAGCACAAUUAUUCCUGAAAGACUCCAGCAAUUACUGCGACCUGCAUGUAGACAAAGUCUGCUGAUGUGGAAUCCACACGUCUAAAUUUAGACAGCAGCUGUAAGCCUGCUGAGGACAGCAGGGACCAGCAAGUCCACAGAUGACUGGCGUUCGGAAAGGUCUUCAGAGGUGCAUGAGCGCCCCCCAGUGUUCACAAAAAGAAUCACACCAAAAACCCAGCCAUGUGUAUUUAGAACACCUUCUCUGAAGAUCUGACAUGUGGACAGGAAGAUCUUCGUAA